RNAcentral lists this transfer RNA (90 nucleotides) under bacterium. RNAcentral's name for it is "tRNA-Ser". It matches the Rfam family "tRNA". Rfam says of the family: Transfer RNA (tRNA) molecules are approximately 80 nucleotides in length. Their secondary structure includes four short double-helical elements and three loops (D, anti-codon, and T loops). Further hydrogen bonds mediate the characteristic L-shaped molecular structure. tRNAs have two regions of fundamental functional importance: the anti-codon, which is responsible for specific mRNA codon recognition, and the 3' end, to which the tRNAs corresponding amino acid is attached (by aminoacyl-tRNA synthetases). tRNAs cope with the degeneracy of the genetic code in two manners: having more than one tRNA (with a specific anti-codon) for a particular amino acid; and 'wobble' base-pairing, i.e. permitting non-standard base-pairing at the 3rd anti-codon position. The record is from RNAcentral.
GGAGAGGUGGCCGAGCGGCCUAAGGCGGCGGCUUGCUAAGCCGUUGUAGGGAGUAUAUCCCUACCGCGGGUUCGAAUCCCGCCCUCUCCG